RNAcentral lists this long non-coding RNA (1127 nucleotides) under Struthio camelus australis. RNAcentral's name for it is "lncRNA (ENSSCUG00000007367.1)". The record is from RNAcentral. Lineage: Eukaryota; Metazoa; Chordata; Aves; Struthioniformes; Struthionidae.
GCUGUUCUAUUAUUCUCACAAAUACCAUGACAGGGCCUGCACAGUCUCUGAUGUCCACAGUCUAUGCCUGCAGGGCAAACGUCACGCUGGGGGCUUAGAGGAUUUCCAGCAAACAGUCAUUCCAGACUGAAAAGUCCCUGUAUUGCGAUCUGCUGAAAUAUAGCCUUAGUAAAUCAAAGAUGCAAUUUGGGGGAAAAUUUGUGCCUGCUUUUUUAUUAUGAUCAUAAUUUAUCUUUGGUUAUAAUAGCACCUUCAAGAUUUUCCUCAUUAACAUUAUGGGCAUGAUAAGAUUACUGACUGUUAUUUUUAUUGGAAAGAAUGAACGUGUGAGACAUGGUACAGUCCCAAACACUGUGCUUUACAGACAAGACGGACAAAGACAGUGCUACUGGGACUAUCAUUUCUGUGUAUGCUUCAGAGAACUCAGGCGCACACUGAUUAUGGAAAACUAGGACAGAGCCAGGAAAUGAUUUCAAGUCUCCUGAAUCCCAAUAUGUCAAAUGAGAGACCAACUUCUGCUAUCAGUGUUUCUGUGAUAAAUGUGGUGAUAAUUCAGGUGGAAAACAGGCGGAGAAAAUGCAAGUUGGAAAAUUGGCCAUCUGUGGACAUCUUCCUUCUACAAGCAAUGUUAUCCUCGCCUGCCAGGUACUUUUCAGUUUCUGCAAAAAAGGACUCCAUAGACCACAGUCUUCUUUACUGGAUAAUCCUAAUGCCACUAAAGAAGAAGAUGGAAAAAAUGCCAUGGUUGAUUUCAAUGGAGGAUGAGCCUUAUAUUUUUCAUAGUACCCCUGUCAUUCACUGAACCUUUCCAUCUGCCAUUCAGUUCCAAUGAGCUGCAGGGCUAUAGUUCAAUUCUACCUGUACACCUGAAAAAAAGUUAAUAUCAAAUAAUUAAAAUUACGUUCAAUAUUUUAUCACGUUUUCUUUGCUGUUUCAUCAUGAUUUCUAAACAUACUUCAUUUUUAUAUUCUCUGAUCCACUUAGCAUGCACUUGGUGUUUAUUAUUACUAGAUUUCAUGAAAUUUUUUCGAGAAAGAGAGCAUGGACACUAGCUGUUAUUUUUUAGUGAUUAUUAUCUGAACAAAUCUAGAUCUGUUAACUUCAGAGAAGCUGAAUUUACACUCAGG